AAAAUAAUCCUACCCUUUGUGAAUUUGUUUGUUUGAAUAAUUUUUUUUUUUAAAAAAUUAUUGGAGUCUUUCCCUUUAGAGUUUGCUUUUGAGUUUGUAAAAGAAUUCGAAAACAUCUAAAGGGGAUGGUCAAUAAUUUUUUUUGAAAAAAGACAUUUUUUAAAAUUAAACUUUUUGUAUUCAUUUGUCUAAAAAUUAUUUUUAUAAUAUAAAAACAACUUUUGACAAUGGAUCUCUUGGUUCUCGCAACGAUGAAGAACGCAGCAAAAUGCGAUAAGUAGUGUGAAUUGCAGAAUACGUGAAUCAUCGAAUCUUUGAACGCAUAUUGCACUUUUUUAGUUUACUAAAAAGUAUGUCUGUUUGAGUAUCAGUAAAAUAUUCUCAUAAAAAUCAUUGUGUAUUUUUAUGGUUAUGAGUGUUUUACAACGAUACAAGUUGUUUCACUUUAAAUUUUUUUUAAUAUUGAAAUUUUCUAAUUUUAAUAAUUAAAAUUGGAUAAAAUUUUCCCGUCAAAAGGAAUAACCUAAACAAUUUUAAAUGAUUAAUUUUAGCAAAAUUUUCGAAAAAGGAAAAUUUUUAUUAAAAUAACUUGAUCUCAAAUCAGAUAAGAGUACCCGCUGAACUUAAGCAUAUCAAUAAGCGGAGGAAAAGAAACUAACAAGGAUUCCCUUAGUAACGGCGAGUGAAGCGGGAAGAGCUCAAAUUUGAAAUCUUCAAGGUUUUACCUUGACGAAUUGUAGUUUAAAGAAGUGUUUUCUGCUGAAGUUUUGGUAAAAGUUCUUUGGAAUAGGACAUCAUAGAGGGUGAGAAUCCCGUAUUUGACCAUUAUUUUCAGCUUUGUGAUACACUUUCAAAGAGUCGGAUUGUUUGGGAAUGCAGUCCAAAAUGGGUGGUAAAUUUCAUCUAAAGCUAAAUAUUGGCGAGAGACCGAUAGCGAACAAGUACCGUGAGGGAAAGAUGAAAAGAACUUUGAAAAGAGAGUUAAACAGUACGUGAAAUUGUCAAAAGGGAAGCGUUUGACACCAGUGUUGUUUUCUCGAAAAUCAAUUAAAAAUGGCUCGAUUUUGUAUUGCUGAGACCUUAAAAGCUCACUGUACAUUUUUCGUGUCUUUUUUAAUGCACUUUUCGUUUAACAAGUCAACAUCAGUUUCUUUUGUUGUAAAAGGGUCAUUGGAAGGUGGCUUUCUUUUCGGAGAAAGUGUUUAUAGCCUUUGGCCUCUGCAAUCGAGAGACUGAGGUCUGCAGCGUAGACUCUUCGGGUUAGAUACAUUUGUGCUAAGUUAUAGCUUUUUAUAGACAACUUGUUGACUAUAAUUAGUCUUGUAGCUUACUCGCUUAUGCUAUUUUACCUACGCUUGGAUG
Molecule: unclassified non-coding RNA, 1362 nt
Filed under: uncultured Neocallimastigales
Lineage: Eukaryota; Fungi; Neocallimastigomycota; Neocallimastigomycetes; Neocallimastigales
Description: partial contains internal transcribed spacer 1, 5.8S ribosomal RNA, internal transcribed spacer 2, and large subunit ribosomal RNA
Rfam family: Eukaryotic large subunit ribosomal RNA (bases 591-1362)
Source: RNAcentral